CACACACACACACACACACAGGCACGCACGCACGCACACACACGAGGUGUCCCUCUGAGGGAGCAAGCAAGAACCCAAGGGGAAGGAAAGAAAUUUUGGAAAGCCUUGACCGUGGACAUGGGAGUGGGGGCUGGGACAGGGGACACAGGGUCUUCAAGUCUGCGUGGUGGAAUUGAAUAAUUCCAGAGUAGAGGGGUAACAGCUGCAAUAUGUUGAGAAAUUCCUCCAAUGUGGUACAUUUGAACAAACCAGAUCCUGCUAAUUAAGAGCUCAAAUUUGCAUUGCAUAUCAUAGUGCGAUUUAGAACUGGUAAUGGCUAACAAAGUGAGUUGGCAUUUUAUUUUAAAUUCGAAGAAUUCAGGAAGCUACCAUGGAUUUUAUCAAGGUGGAAAAUUACAUGCUGAGGUGCUUCAACCUUAAUCUUUAAGAAGAAAAACUGCCAAGUGAAUUUUCAAAACUUAGCUGAUUUGAUGAAUAUUUCUAAAAAGGAAGAUCUGGGGGACAGAGAUCUUUUUUAUUUCAUUUCAUAUUACAUCAUCUGAGUCUCACUGGCUGGCCUGGAAAUUGUUAUGUAGACCAAGCUGACCUUCAAUUUACCGGACUCCUCCUGUCUCACAUUUGACAGUGAGAGAUUUGCAUCACCUUGAUUGCAACUUUUCUCACCCAGCCCUUCUCCAGUUUGCUAGGUCACUAAUUGAAGCCCUGAAGUGCACCAAGGACCCUUGAAGGCAAUGCUCUCCUAUGAUCUUCCAUUUCAGCCUCUGCUAUCUUCUCCCUUAAUUUCAAAAUUUUGGAGAUUCCCCAAGCUUGGCCUAAUGUUUUGCUGUGUUUCUGCAUCUGGUUUCAUCACUUGUUGGAUGGAGCCUCUUUGGUGACAAUUGGGCUUGGCAACAAUCUCUGAGUAUAGCAGAAAACCAUUAUGCGUCAUCUCAUUGAUAUGUCUCCCACCAGUUAUGUUUGCUUCUAUUCUAGGUCUCUGAGUCAUUCAGCCUGUGGUCCUUGAACUCCAUCCUGGCAGUGUCAAGGAUCAGGUUACUCUACUGGCAUGGAUUUUAGGAUAGAUCAGUCAUUAGGUGACUACUCCCUCAAACUCUAGGCAACCCUUAACCCAGUACAUCCCACAGGCAGCACAGACUGUAGAUUGAAGUCCGUACAGUUGGGGUGGUUUUCCACUCCCUCCACUUAAGUCUUGCCUGGGUACAGGAGAUGGUCAAUUCAGGCUAUGUAUUCACUAUUACUAGGAGUCUUAGCUCAGGUCAUUCUUGUAGAUUCCUGGGAGAAUUCCAUGUGCCAGGCUUUUACCUGACCCCCAAAAUGUCCAGUUUCCAGUAGUCUCUUUCAGUACUCUCUCCCUGACCCUCACCAACUUUAUCAUUCAUGUUCAUAUUGCCAUCCCAACAGCAGUCCACUCACAAUCUCUCUUCUAUUUUCCCUUCCCAGGGAGAUUUAAAUAUCCCACAUAGGUCCUCCUUGUUAUCUUGUCUCUCUAGGUCUAUGCACUGUAGCGUAGUAUUAUUUAUUUUACAAAUAAUAUCUGCUUAUUUGUGAAUAAAUGCCAUGUUUGUCUUCCUGGGUUUGGGUUACCUCACUCAGCAUGAUUUUUUUUCCUAAUUGUAUCCAUUUGCCUUCAAAUUCCAUCAAGUGUACAUUGUUAUGGAAAAUGAAAUAUUUAAAAGGAGUUAAUGACGUUACUUGUUGGUGUUUUAAUGGCUUUAUUUCAGUGUAUUGUUAAGUUUGACAUGAUCCUUAGAAUAGUUGCUUACCAAAUUUUUAUAUAUUCAAACAAUUUAAGGAAUAUUCAAAGGUUGUAACAUUGGUUUUUGAGUAUAUUUUCCCUACAUUUUACUUAAAGUAACAAGUUCCUUUGUUGAUAGAUCCAAAGACAGAGGCAUAAUUAUUUUUUCCAUAAAAUAAGAGCACACAUUCUUUCUUCAUAGACAGAUGACAAAUUUAUUAAAUGAAAAGUAUGUUGACCUAAUAAUCUUAAUUUCUUGUUGUCUAUUAUUAGCUUCAGCUGUAUGUAUGUAUAUUGGACAUAUUUCAUUUAGAUGGAUGUGUUAGAGUUUAAACCCUUUGUCCUUCCCUAGUAGCCAGAUACACUGGAUGUAUCAUUACAUUAUCAUUUUUAACACUGUGCUGCCAGCACUUCUGGCAGUGUAGAAAGAUUCAACAAAUCGAUAACACUGUGAACAGGUCUCCAGUCAUCCUGCAGUGUGUUAUGAACUUUUUCAAAAACAAAUCAGCAGGCAAGCCAGAGGAUUUAAAAAUUGAACAAAGAAAAUAAAAUAUGAUAUUAAACCAGAGGAGAAACCUUAGAAAACACUUUAAAACACUAAAGUCUUCAGAAUUAGGAGUUAAUUUUUUGCAUUCCUUCAUGACUUCAUUCAUUUAAAGUCUUAUAUUGAGGAUUCACAUUGAAGUAACAUUUACAACAUAGUGUGAUGAGUUUAAUUAUAGCUGGAUAGGGAUUACUGCAAACAUGGGAAUUAGUGGGACUUUAUAUAUAUUGAUAUAUCAGGAAAAACUCCUAGCAAUUUAACAUUGCUAUACCAAAAUAUCCCACCCAGUAUGAUUAAUAAGCAUCAAAAAUCACAAUUCUAGAGGCUGGUAUGUCCAAGAUCAAGGUGCAAGCAGAUGAUCUCUCUCUCUCUC
Molecule: long non-coding RNA, 2652 nt
Organism: Mesocricetus auratus (golden hamster)
Lineage: Eukaryota; Metazoa; Chordata; Mammalia; Rodentia; Cricetidae
Exons: 7
Source: RefSeq, a predicted model, not a curated record